Molecule: unclassified non-coding RNA, 150 nt
Filed under: uncultured Podospora
Lineage: Eukaryota; Fungi; Ascomycota; Sordariomycetes; Sordariales; Lasiosphaeriaceae
Description: sequence contains ITS1
Source: RNAcentral
CAGAGAACUGUUUCUCGCACCAUCGCGAACUUACCCCCCCAAAACACGUUCCUUCGGCGGAGCGGCCCCCGUGGCUGCGCCGCCGGAGGGCUCAACCAAACACUGUAUUUUAUGGGUUCCUUCUGAGUAUGAUUUUUUGCAAAUCAGUCA